Molecule: ribosomal RNA, 465 nt
Filed under: Vreelandella stevensii
Lineage: Bacteria; Pseudomonadati; Pseudomonadota; Gammaproteobacteria; Oceanospirillales; Halomonadaceae
Description: partial 16S ribosomal RNA
Rfam family: Bacterial small subunit ribosomal RNA
Source: RNAcentral
CCUACGGGCGGCAGCAGUGGGGAAUAUUGGACAAUGGGGGGAACCCUGAUCCAGCCAUGCCGCGUGUGUGAAGAAGGCCCUCGGGUUGUAAAGCACUUUCAGUGAGGAAGAACGCCUGGUGGUUAAUACCCAUCAGGAAAGACAUCACUCACAGAAGAAGCACCGGCUAACUCCGUGCCAGCAGCCGCGGUAAUACGGAGGGUGCGAGCGUUAAUCGGAAUUACUGGGCGUAAAGCGCGCGUAGGUGGCUUGAUAAGCCGGUUGUGAAAGCCCCGGGCUCAACCUGGGAACGGCAUCCGGAACUGUCAAGCUAGAGUGCAGGAGAGGAAGGUAGAAUUCCCGGUGUAGCGGUGAAAUGCGUAGAGAUCGGGAGGAAUACCAGUGGCGAAGGCGGCCUUCUGGACUGCCACUGACACUGAGGUGCGAAAGCGUGGGUAGCAAACAGGAUUAGAUACCCGAGUAGUC